GUCCAGUGGCUGGGCUGCCAUCCUCCAGGGCCAAGGGUUGGAUCUAAAGCUGAAGGACAGUGAACCCGAACAGACUGGGUGUCCCCGAGGAAUCGGGGAUGGCCAGAGCUCUGCCGAACAACUUGGAACAUUUCCUGAAAGUAAAUGGCCACAAGGAGGUUUGAAAGGAACAGAAGAUUAUCCAGUUCAACCAAAUCUAUGCCCAGAGGGAGGAGCUUGCAACUGGAAAAUGCACGGAGCUAAGAGUUUGUCCUUGCUGUGUCUGAGGCUGCUGUGUGGCCUGGCAGAAGCUGCUGACCUGCUUGGACCAUACUUUCUUUUACAAGAGAAGAAAGAAUGACCUGCUCAGUCUUCCUUACAACCUUGCUUUGAAGGACAACCGCAUGUGAAAGCCCAGUAUGAGGAGUGGAGCAGGACCAAAGCCAUCCCCUUUCCUCUCCUACACAGAAUGCAGUCACAUUCUAGUCUCCUUUCACGGGCUGCCUAAUUUCUGGCACAUCUAGCCAAAUGUGAUUAACAAGGAAAAGUUUAAUAUAGAACCACUCCCUUUCCUGACUCACAGAGAAAAUGAGGUAAUCUCGAAUAUUGUACUAAAAUAAAGGAUUUACAAGUUGAGUUUGAUAUUUGGCUGCUCUGUACUAAGCAUUUUCACAUGCA
This 657-nucleotide long non-coding RNA is filed under the name Cavia porcellus (domestic guinea pig). RNAcentral's name for it is "lncRNA (ENSCPOG00000040215.1)". Lineage: Eukaryota; Metazoa; Chordata; Mammalia; Rodentia; Caviidae. The record is from RNAcentral.